RNAcentral lists this ribosomal RNA (570 nucleotides) under uncultured bacterium. Its description in RNAcentral is "bacterial SSU rRNA". It matches the Rfam family "Bacterial small subunit ribosomal RNA", at positions 338 to 917 of the family's 1533-position model. The record is from RNAcentral.
UCUACGGGAGGCAGCAGUGGGGAAUAUUGCACAAUGGGCGCAAGCCUGAUGCAGCGACGCCGCGUGGGGGAUGACGGCCUUCGGGUUGUAAACUCCUUUCGCUAGGGACGAAGCUUUUGUGACGGUACCUAGAUAAGAAGCACCGGCUAACUACGUGCCAGCAGCCGCGGUAAUACGUAGGGUGCGAGCGUUGUCCGGAAUUACUGGGCGUAAAGGGCUCGUAGGUGGUUUGUCGCGUCGUCUGUGAAAUUCCGGGGCUUAACUCCGGGCGUGCAGGCGAUACGGGCAUAACUUGAGUACUGUAGGGGUAACUGGAAUUCCUGGUGUAGCGGUGAAAUGCGCAGAUAUCAGGAGGAACACCGAUGGCGAAGGCAGGUUACUGGGCAGUUACUGACGCUGAGGAGCGAAAGCAUGGGUAGCGAACAGGAUUAGAUACCCUGGUAGUCCAUGCCGUAAACGGUGGGCGCUAGGUGUGAGGGUCUUUUCACGACUUUCGUGCCGUAGCUAACGCAUUAAGCGCCCCGCCUGGGGAGUACGGCCGCAAGGCUAAAACUCAAAGGAAUUGACGGA